CGGCAAUGGAGGAAACUCUGACCGAGCAACGCCGCGUGAACGAUGAAGUAUUUCGGUACGUAAAGUUCUUUUAUUAGGGAAGAAUAAAUGAUGGAAAAAUCAUUCUGACGGUACCUAAUGAAUAAGCCCCGGCUAACUAUGUGCCAGCAGCCGCGGUAAUACAUAGGGGGCAAGCGUUAUCCGGAAUUAUUGGGCGUAAAGGGUGCGUAGGCGGUUAAAUAAGUUUAUGGUCUAAGUGCAAUGCUCAACAUUGUGAUGCUAUAAAAACUGUUUAGCUAGAGUAAGAUAGAGGCAAGUGGAAUUCCAUGUGUAGUGGUAAAAUGCGUAAAUAUAUGGAGGAACACCAGUAGCGAAGGCGGCUUGCUGGGUCUUUACUGACGCUGAGGCACGAAAGCGUGGGGAGCAAACAGGAUUAGAUACCCUGGUAGUCCACGCCGUAAACGAUGAGUACUAAACGUUGGGUAAAACCAGUGUUGAAGUUAACACAUUAAGUACUCCGCCUGAGUAGUACGUACGCAAGUAUGAAACUUAAAGGAAUUGACGGGACUCCGCACAAGCGGUGGAUCAUGUUGUUUAAUUCGAAGGUACCCGAAAAACCUCACCAGGUCUUGACAUGCUUCUGCAAAGCUGUGGAAACACAGUGGAGGUUAUCAGUUGCACAGGUGGUGCAUGGUUGUCGUCAGCUCGUGUCGUGAGAUGUUGGGUUAAGUCCCGCAACGAGCGCAACCCUUAUUGUUAGUUACCAGCACGUAAUGGUGGGGACUUUAGCAAGACUGCCAGUGAUAAAUUGGAGGAAGGUGGGGACGACGUCAAAUCAUCAUGCCCCUUAUGACCUGGGCUACAAACGUGAUACAAUGGCUGUUACAAGAGUAGCUGAA
RNAcentral lists this ribosomal RNA (878 nucleotides) under 'Mangifera indica' phytoplasma. RNAcentral's name for it is "bacterial SSU rRNA". It matches the Rfam family "Bacterial small subunit ribosomal RNA", at positions 366 to 1254 of the family's 1533-position model. The record is from RNAcentral. Lineage: Bacteria; Bacillati; Mycoplasmatota; Mollicutes; Acholeplasmatales; Acholeplasmataceae.